RNAcentral lists this ribosomal RNA (432 nucleotides) under uncultured bacterium. Its description in RNAcentral is "partial 16S ribosomal RNA". It matches the Rfam family "Bacterial small subunit ribosomal RNA", at positions 29 to 507 of the family's 1533-position model. The record is from RNAcentral.
GCGAACGCUUGCGGCAGGCCUAACACAUGCAAGUCGAACGAACUCUUCGGAGUUAGUGGCGGACGGGUGAGUAACACGUGGGAACGUGCCUUUAGGUUCGGAAUAACUCAGGGAAACUUGUGCUAAUACCGAAUGUGCCCUUCGGGGGAAAGAUUUAUCGCCUUUAGAGCGGCCCGCGUCUGAUUAGCUAGUUGGUGAGGUAAAGGCUCACCAAGGCGACGAUCAGUAGCUGGUCUGAGAGGAUGAUCAGCCACAUUGGGACUGAGACACGGCCCAAACUCCUACGGGAGGCAGCAGUGGGGAAUCUUGCGCAAUGGGCGAAAGCCUGACGCAGCCAUGCCGCGUGAAUGAUGAAGGUCUUAGGAUUGUAAAAUUCUUUCACCGGGGACGAUAAUGACGGUACCCGGAGAAGAAGCCCCGGCUAACUUCGUG